RNAcentral lists this ribosomal RNA (253 nucleotides) under uncultured bacterium. RNAcentral describes it as "partial 16S ribosomal RNA". It matches the Rfam family "Bacterial small subunit ribosomal RNA", at positions 524 to 776 of the family's 1533-position model. The record is from RNAcentral.
UACGUAGGGAGCAAGCGUUGUCCGGAAUCAUUGGGCGUAAAGCGCGCGUAGGUGGCCCCAUAAGUCCGCUGUGAAAGUCAAAGGCUCAACCUUUGAAAGCCGGUGGAUACUGUGGGACUAGAGUACGGAAGAGGCGAGUGGGAUUCCUGGUGUAGCGGUGGAAUGCGCAGAUAUCAGGAGGAACACCAAUAGCGAAGGCAGCUCGCUGGGACGGUACUGACGCUAAGGCGCGAAAGCGUGGGGAGCGAACAGG